AUACUUACCUGGCAAGGGACACACCGUGAUCACGAAGGCGGUUCACCCAGGGCGAGGCUCAGCCAUUGCACUCCGGCUGUGCUGACCCCUGCGAAUCUCGAUUGCAUAAUUUCUGGUAGUGGGGGACUGCGUUCGCGCUCUCCCCUG
Molecule: small nuclear RNA, 147 nt
Filed under: Oncorhynchus mykiss (rainbow trout)
Lineage: Eukaryota; Metazoa; Chordata; Actinopteri; Salmoniformes; Salmonidae
Description: U1 spliceosomal RNA (ENSOMYG00000027972.2)
Rfam family: U1 spliceosomal RNA
About the family: U1 is a small nuclear RNA (snRNA) component of the spliceosome (involved in pre-mRNA splicing).
Source: RNAcentral